AAACAUAUAUUUUUUUUUAUUUGUUUCUCUUAUUUUUCUAAAAUUAGAUCUCAUCAAAGAAAUACGUAACACUCAUUUGAAUUUUACAAAUCUGUAUCUAUAUUGUUUAGUAUAUGUAUCUAAAAAAAGGCAAAAUAAAUGCAUUAAAAACUAAUUAUAUAUAUAGUAAUCCAAGAAUACAAUGAAAACAAGAAACAAAAUAAGCAGCUAUGAUUAGCUUUGGCAUCUAGGAAUAAUUAGCUAUAGGCCUAUGUGUUCUAGGACAUUCGAAAUUAAUUUCACCUAGACUUUUAGAGAGUCUUAAAGUUAUUUUUCUAAUUGAUUAAUUUUGUGUGUGUAAUGACACAUAUAAAAGUUUUGAACAUCUUUUAAAGUCAAAAAUAGCUUUGAAUCAUCCCUAUAUCAAAUUGUUAGUUACAGUUUUUGAAUGUUUUAG
Non-coding RNA from Biomphalaria pfeifferi, 436 nucleotides. Lineage: Eukaryota; Metazoa; Mollusca; Gastropoda; Planorbidae. The record is from the annotation of a GenBank genome assembly.